This 1265-nucleotide ribosomal RNA is filed under the name Microbacterium aurantiacum. Its description in RNAcentral is "bacterial SSU rRNA". It matches the Rfam family "Bacterial small subunit ribosomal RNA", at positions 60 to 1339 of the family's 1533-position model. The record is from RNAcentral. Lineage: Bacteria; Bacillati; Actinomycetota; Actinomycetes; Micrococcales; Microbacteriaceae.
AGUCGACGGUGAAGCCAGCUUGCUUGGUGGAUCAGUGGCGAACGGGUGAGUAACACGUGAGCAACCUGCCCUGAACUCUGGGAUAAGCGCUGGAAACGGCGUCUAAUACUGGAUAUGAGCUGCGGAGGCAUCUUCGUGGUUGGAAAGAUUUUUCGGUUUGGGAUGGGCUCGCGGCCUAUCAGCUUGUUGGUGAGGUAAUGGCUCACCAAGGCGUCGACGGGUAGCCGGCCUGAGAGGGUGACCGGCCACACUGGGACUGAGACACGGCCCAGACUCCUACGGGAGGCAGCAGUGGGGAAUAUUGCACAAUGGGCGGAAGCCUGAUGCAGCAACGCCGCGUGAGGGAUGACGGCCUUCGGGUUGUAAACCUCUUUUAGCAGGGAAGAAGCGAAAGUGACGGUACCUGCAGAAAAAGCGCCGGCUAACUACGUGCCAGCAGCCGCGGUAAUACGUAGGGCGCAAGCGUUAUCCGGAAUUAUUGGGCGUAAAGAGCUCGUAGGCGGUUUGUCGCGUCUGCUGUGAAAUCUGGGGGCUCAACCCCCAGCCUGCAGUGGGUACGGGCAGACUAGAGUGCGGUAGGGGAGAUUGGAAUUCCUGGUGUAGCGGUGGAAUGCGCAGAUAUCAGGAGGAACACCGAUGGCGAAGGCAGAUCUCUGGGCCGUAACUGACGCUGAGGAGCGAAAGGGUGGGGAGCAAACAGGCUUAGAUACCCUGGUAGUCCACCCCGUAAACGUUGGGAACUAGUUGUGGGGUCCAUUCCACGGAUUCCGUGACGCAGCUAACGCAUUAAGUUCCCCGCCUGGGGAGUACGGCCGCAAGGCUAAAACUCAAAGGAAUUGACGGGGACCCGCACAAGCGGCGGAGCAUGCGGAUUAAUUCGAUGCAACGCGAAGAACCUUACCAAGGCUUGACAUACACGAGAACGCUGCAGAAAUGUAGAACUCUUUGGACACUCGUGAACAGGUGGUGCAUGGUUGUCGUCAGCUCGUGUCGUGAGAUGUUGGGUUAAGUCCCGCAACGAGCGCAACCCUCGUUCUAUGUUGCCAGCACGUAAUGGUGGGAACUCAUGGGAUACUGCCGGGGUCAACUCGGAGGAAGGUGGGGAUGACGUCAAAUCAUCAUGCCCCUUAUGUCUUGGGCUUCACGCAUGCUACAAUGGCCGGUACAAAGGGCUGCAAUACCGCGAGGUGGAGCGAAUCCCAAAAAGCCGGUCCCAGUUCGGAUUGAGGUCUGCAACUCGACCUCAUGAAGUCGGAGUCGCUAGU